Molecule: non-coding RNA, 6301 nt
Organism: Nothobranchius furzeri (turquoise killifish)
Lineage: Eukaryota; Metazoa; Chordata; Actinopteri; Cyprinodontiformes; Nothobranchiidae
Source: RefSeq, a predicted model, not a curated record
AAGGAGAUGGAAACUGAAAGAGGAAGAGAGAGGGAGAGAUUCUGCUUUCUUCUGAAGUGUUAAAAGCUCCAUGCAGGCAUUACUUCCUGCACCCAGCAUCUUUUGCCAUUGUUCCUCCGCUGCUUAUGGCCAUGACUCAUAACAAAGUUUUUCUUUUGCACACCCAUUCACACAUGCAGGGCUUGAUCACUCUGUGAGCUUCUAAAAGAAAGACAAAAAAUCCUCUACUUUUCUCCCUGUUUGUGUUUGUGGUGUGCUCCAGACAGCCAGGGGGGCGGACCUUUUUGUCCACGGGAAGGACUGGAGUUUCAAAAAGUUCCUACGAAGGGACUUUUGGUCUGCUUCCUGAUGACAAGCUAACUCUUUUCUGAGAGGUUCCCAUGCACUCAUCAUCUCCUGAUUCUAAUAACUACCCAAGGCUCCACGCUGUACAAUGUCUUGCUACAUGUCUCCUGGUCAUCCGCUCUCAGCCACCCAUCUGCCUCCUCACUGAAGUCACCUACUCUCUGAUAUCUCUGGACCAUCCUCAGUCAUCCCUGGAUGUCCCUCUAAGCUCAGCUCCCUCCAUGUUUCCCGGAUUCCGCCUCGGCUCACUCAGACCUGACCUAGACCCUCCUCAGAGUCCACACUACUCUUGGAAUCAAUCCCUGUUGUGACUCUUCUUACAAAAACCCACAUGUGAAGUGGUCCACCAACCAAAUAAAGAUAUGGAGCACCCAUUGCUUAUCCAAGUGCCUCAAAUCUGCUGUUGUCAAGGCUCCCCUGCCAGUAAACAAUCUGGCCCAGCCGUCUGAUCUCACCAACAUGCCCAGGUAAAAACAAAAUCUUCCGCAGGUAUUCUCAAAAUACCUUGCUUCUUCUCUUCCUCCCCACAAACCUUUCGACUGUGCCAUAGACCUGUUUCCCAGAGUUCCAUUACCUUCUUCUUAUCUAUUCCGUGUGUCAAAGCCAGAACGUGAGUGUAUGGGAAAACAUGUCACUGAAUCUCUAGCUGCUGGCAUCAUUAGAAAUCCCACUUCACCCCUAGGAGCAGAAACAUGGUUCAUUACACCCAUGCAUAGACUAUAGAGGACGUAACCACAUCACUGUUAGUAACAAAUAUCCACUGCCUCUGCUGUCAUCGACCUUUGAGCCCAUACAAGAUUAAACCAAUUUCACGGAAUUGGACCUCCGCAAUGCAUGCUACUUGGCCAGAAUUUUCCAAGGCGAUGAAUGAAAGACAGCCUUCAGAACACCUCUAGGACACUUUGAAUACUCAAUGAUACCAUUUGGAUUAACAAAUGCUCCUGCCAUGUUCCAGUCCCUGGUGGACAGUGUCGUGGAUGACUAUCUGAACAAACAUGUAACAGUCUGUCUCAAUGAUAUACUUCUGUUUUCCAAUCCCCCAGAGGAACAUCGUGGACAUGCAGGUGCCGUUUUCCAAUGCCUUUUGGAGAAUAGACUCUACGCCAAGGCUGAAAAAUGUUAAUUCCAUUCCCCAUCAGUCCAGUUCCUUGGUUUUGUGCUGGAGAGCGGGCAGCUUUAGUCUGAUCUGGAAAAAAUCUAGGCUGCUGUCAACUGGCCUACUCCCACCUCAAUGCAGCUCCAUUUUCUGGGUUUUGCUAAUGUUUAUUGCAGAUUCUUCUAAAACUACAGUCAGACAGCUACACCCUGAACUCGACUCAUUUCCAGAAAAAAAAAAACAUUUUUUUUUUACUCCUGAGGCUGCCAAAGCUUUCACUGAUCUUAAGAACAAGUUCACUCAAGCACCUAAUCUCACCCUUCCAAACACCUCACCACAGUUUGUACAAGAAGUGGACGCCUUAGAUACAGGUGUCGGUGCUGUUUUGUCUCAGGUCUCUCAAACAGGUUACAAACUUUAUCCCUGUUGUAGCGUUAUGGAUAUGCUAUUUUCUGCCCUUAACAGCUGCCCUUUGACACAGUGACAGUGUGCAUAAAUUGCCAAGGUCGUGUGCUUGCUUCUGAUGUUUACAUUCUAUCAAAGAAGACAGAAGAAGGACGAAGAACGCUUUUCAUUAGUUAAUCAAAGAACUUUAUUUUUAAUAAAGCUAAUCAAAACAACUGUUGGUCAAUAAUAAUCAGGUGACUGAACUGUGAAAUCACAAUGUUAUGAUCAGAGGUGGAAAGAGUACUAAAAUGUUGUACUUAAGUACAAGUAUAAUUACUUUCAUGAAAUUUUACUCAAUUACAAAUAAAAUUACCUGCCUCAAAAUGUACUCAAGUAAAAGUAAAAAGUAGCUUAUUUCAAAUGUAGUCAGAGUAAAAGUUACUUAGUUACUUUUUUGACUGCAAGGAUGGGCUCUUCUGAAUAGUUAAAAAAAAGACAAUGGGGUAUAAAUAUCAAAGUGGCCGUUUUUUUAAUUAAAUGAACAAAUAUGCAUUAUGAAGUACAAAGGCAGUUACACUGCAAACUAGUAACAUAAAUUAGGUUAUAGUCACAAGCCCAUGACUUUUCCCUGAAUGCUUAUUUAGAGCAGCUGAUUUUUAAAGUUAGCAGAGUUCAUCUUUGGUAGUGGGUUCACUCACUCAUUUAAAGAUAUCGGCCAGAGGCAAAAUUUGUUUGAACAGCAUGUGUAAAUGUGAAUUAAAAUCUCAGAUGAAAAAGGUUUUUGGAUUUUGACGGCUGGAAUUGUAUGAAAAUCUGAUGUUUGUGACCGGCGAGGGAAAAACAGAAACUAACUUCCGGUCUAAGCCCUGGGCAGCAGUUGACGUUUCACAUGGAGCUCUGCUGAAACAGCUGUAGUAAACAACGCCUGGCUCCGCUGUUUCUGCGUUAGCGUUAUAGCAGAGAACAUUGUGUCAUCAAUCAGAUGUAGCUUCUGAAGCCUCUGCUAGUCGGUCAGAUUUGUUUUUUCUCUGGGAUACGGCGACGAGAACGGAUAUUGGAUUCCCGGAGAAGUUCAACCGAACUCCGACCCCGCCAGCUGGAUAUCACUACCAGAGGUGCAGACAUGUUUUAGACCGUUUGACUCAGAAGACCAGGACAUGACCUGGACAUAGAGGAGGAUUCUGUUCAUCUUCAGAACCAAAAUCGGUAGAGUUUGUUUACUUUUCUUAAAUAUUUCCUUUCUGUGCUCCUCUGGGAGCUCUAAGUUGACAAGUUCUCAGCUGGUCUUAGCUCCAUCAUGUGUCCCAAUAUAGUUCAGUAAUCUACAGUUUUACUGCUGUGUGUAUUUAUUGACAUAACUCUGGAAAAUAUUUAACCAACAAUUUACCAGAAUAAAUCUUCCUGAUGCUGGAGUAACUCCUUAGCUCAACUCGUUGUUUGCACUAAUCCAGGAUGUCAUGGAGGUUCUAAUGUUGAAAUAUAGAGAUCAUCUUUUAGAUUAUAUCUGUGUGUGUGUGUGUGUGUGUGUGUGUGUGUGUGUGUGUGUGUGUGUGUGUGUGUGUGCGUGCGUGCGUGCGUGCGUGUGUGUCGUAGCUUUCCCAAAGGACUUGUUCUUUCCUUACCGGAGCUAACACAGUUAGCAGUUUUGCUGCAGUCAUGCUAACGGGACUCGUCUGGAGUCCAGAAGUAGCGGUGCGGUUCUAGAUGGAUUUAUAGAUGUAGGUUAUUAUUUUAGAUCAGACCUGUUAUUUAAAAAUGCAUGUAGGACACAGACACAUGGCUCAGACCUUUUGCUGCAGCUGUAAACACAAUUUUACGUAAUAAUUAGGAGCAUCAAAGUAAAUAACAGUGAUUCACAAUACUAGCAUCAGCAGCUAGCUUGUUUUACGUGCUGGAGCGACGUAUGCGAAACACAGUUCUUCACUGUCUGGAGGAGAGGAUUUGGAUAUUCUGUAAUGAUUUAUGACAAAAGUCCUUAAUAAAAUAAAAAACUGGACCCAGUACAUGUUUAUAUAGAUAAUAAACUGUAGUUAUUUAGCAUUUCUACAAUUUUAAUGCCGAGCCAAUACCUUUAACCCUUCACCACUGAAACCAGUUUGUUCAUUCCAGUCCACCUAAAUAAUCCUCCAAUCAUCCAACUGGAAUCCUUAAGGGUCCUGUAACGUACAUCCUGUCAGAAUAGGCCUUGGGAGCCCAGGUGUUACUAGAACUAACGGUGUCUCCUCACCAGCGUGACCCUCCAAACUGUGAAGGUUGGUCUCCAAAUAUGAACUUCAAAUUCAUGCAUUUAUCUCCUCUUGUAACACUUUAACAUGUUUUAAAAGGCUUGUAUCGUGAUAUGUUACACCUCCCAGACCAAAGAUAGGUCCAAUAUAAGAUAAAACAUUAUCAUAAACACUGCAGAGACAUCAUUGUUUAUUAAAUACAAGUUGUUUUCCUGAGCCAUUACUUCAGCCAAUAUAUAGGAUGCAUGGAUUUGAUGAAGCCAUGCUGUCUCAUGCAGUCCUACACACACACACACGCACACACACACACGCACAUUCACACACACACACACACACACACACACACACACACACACACACACACACACACACACACACACACACACACACACACACACACACACACACACACACACACACAGCAGCAUGUUAGAAUCAUUUGAAUGACUAAUUUAACUACACUGAACUGCUUUAGUAACAAUUUAAUCUCUUAUUCUGGAGUAAAAAAAAAGAAACAAACUAAAUCAUCACAUAUCUGUGGCAUCAAGAAGCAACUUCUGAGUUCAGACACAGGGAUGGAGCACAAUGUUUACACCUGAACAGUAUCAGGAUUAACUCACAGAGGCCUGCAGGUCUUCUGUUUUAUGAGCAGAGCGCUGAUAAUCAGCUUCUUAGGAGCGCUAAACGUAAUUUUGCCGCUUCCGUGCACGGUAAGAAAACACAUUUCAAACACGGAACCGAGUCUGGUUGCCGAACCGAGCAGAAUUCUGAUGACGUCACACCGGUGCGCGAAGGUGCGGGUUCCAACCCACAGGAGAGAAGGGAGAGAGGAGGUAAACAGCGAGUGGAUCACAGGGACUGAACUGAUGUUUUUGAGCAAAACUGCGGUAAAAAUGGCUGUUUGUCCUCAUCAUAAAGCGUGUAGCCCCCCCCCACCCCCCGCCCCCCCGUUUAGACGUGGCGCUCAUGCAGGUGUCUCUUUCUGUUCUGACGCUGCUACACGUAAUAUUUUUAAUUUAUUAAGACUACAAUUUAUUUUUACUCAGUAACGGAUAUGAUUUAAAAUGUAGCGAAUUACAAUUCUUGUUUAAAAACUUACUCAAGUAAAAGUAAAAGUACAGAUUUUAAAAACGACUUAAAAAGUAUAAAUUUACAAAAAAGCUACUCAAUUACAGUAACGUGAGUAAAUGUAAUUCCUUACUUUCCACCUCUGGUUAUGAUUUAUGUGUUUUAAUGAAUAACAGGACUAACUGAGCUAGACAUCCUGAUCCACGUAAGAUAAACACAUGACACAUUGUUCACGCAUCCAAUCAGAACUUCCGUUCUGUUGCGGGGCAGAGUUCUGAGGUGUUUACUUAAUCUGUCCACUCCGGUUGGCUAAGAUUCAUAAACAUCUAACCUUAAUAAAACAGAACCAUGCCAUUUUAUUUCAGUUCCACCGCAAGUUUCAACGUAGUUCCAACGUGAGCUCGACCAGCUCUCAAAUCCAUCAUCGCUAAGUGAAGUGCAGACUGGCCAGCUGUAUUUUCUACUUUAAGCUGAGAACUGUCAAGCUCGAAAUAUUCUGUCGUUUUACCAACAAGACGACGGUUCCUUCAAAAUAAAAGCUGAACUCUCUACGUGACGCUGACACCUGCCGUUGCUACCGGGAGUCUAUCCGUAGACUGGUUUGUCGUGCUGCAGACGCUGUGCUAUCAGUUCCAGCACCAAAGGAGGGUCCGAGGACCUGGCAUUCCGGAUCAUACACGGGAGUCUCCGAAGGUACGUAGUUCGGCAUAGAAGGCAUUUCAUGUCUCUUCCUCCUGAAGUCCCUCGUGGUUAGUUAGUCAAAACAACAUCUUGCCCUCAGACUCGCCUCGCACCAGAUGGAGAUUCUGAACUGACACACACACCAACUCUUCAGCAUCCAAUCCAUAUUCAUCCAUCAUUAGAGAGUUAGUCCUGGAGAUUGUUUCGAAUAAUUAUAAAAAUAAAUAUUCUUAAACGUCCCAUAUUUUUCCUUUCUUGUCUCUCUAAGUCAAUACAAAGUGUUUGAAUAAAAUUCCCUGUGGUAAAAACAACCUCUUCUGAUUCUAAGGUAAGAUUAACCUCUGUACCUUAAUAAGUGUGAGAAUAAACCAACUAUAUUCCGCUACAUUUAAUGGCGAGCCUUAUCCAGAUAUCUACACAAUUUUAAAGCACUUUGUGCCUCGUUUGAGACAUAUUGGGACUCUGAGUCUGAGUUAGACAUAACAAACUUCUCUCGUUC